RNAcentral lists this ribosomal RNA (460 nucleotides) under uncultured bacterium. RNAcentral describes it as "partial 16S ribosomal RNA". It matches the Rfam family "Bacterial small subunit ribosomal RNA", at positions 338 to 795 of the family's 1533-position model. The record is from RNAcentral.
CCUACGGGAGGCAGCAGUGAGGAAUAUUGGUCAAUGGGCGUAAGCCUGAACCAGCCAAGUCGCGUGAGGGAUGAAGGUUCUAUGGAUCGUAAACCUCUUUUAUCAGGGAAUAAAGUGCGGGACGUGUCCCGUUUUGUAUGUACCUUAUGAAUAAGGAUCGGCUAACGCCGUGCCAGCAGCCGCGGUAAUACGGAGGAUUCGAGCGUUAUCCGGUUUUAUUGGGUUUAAAGGGUGCGUAGGCGGCCUUUUAAGUUAGCGGUGAAAGUCUGUGGCUCAACCAUAGAAUUGCCGUUGAAACUGGGAGGCUUGAGUAUGUUUGAGGCAGGCGGAAUGCGUGGUGUAGCGGUGAAAUGCUUAGAUAUCACGCAGAACCCCGAUUGCGAAGGCAGCUUGCCAGGCCAUGACUGACGCUGAGGCACGAAAGCGUGGGGAUCGAACAGGAUUAGAUACCCCAGUAGUC